This 377-nucleotide unclassified non-coding RNA is filed under the name uncultured bacterium. RNAcentral's name for it is "contains 16S-23S intergenic spacer region". The record is from RNAcentral.
UCCGGUUUGUCACCGGCGGUCUCCUUAGAGUUCCCACCAUUACGUGCUGGCAACUAAGGACAAGGGUUGCGCUCGUUGCGGGACUUAACCCUACAUCUCACGACACGAGCUGACGACAACCAUGCACCACCUGUGUACCGCCCCGAAGGACACCGUAUCUCUACGGCUUUUCGGUACAUGUCAAGCCCAGGUAAGGUUCUUCGCGUUGCCUCGAAUUAAGCCACAUGCUCCACCGCUUGUGCGGGCCCCCGUCAAUUCCUUUGAGUUUCAACCUUGCGGCCGUACUCCCCAGGCGGUCAACUUAACGCUUUAGCUUCGUCACUAAGAGCAAUUAGGGCUCCCAACAACUAGUUGACAUCGUUUAGGGCGUGGACUAC